AAUCCUGUAGCUUAGUGGUUAAAGCACUUGCCUCGGAAACUAGAGGACCUGGGUUUGAUUCCCGGCAGGAUGA
This is a non-coding RNA of Callorhinchus milii (elephant shark), 73 nucleotides long. NCBI's taxonomy places the organism in Eukaryota, Metazoa, Chordata, Chondrichthyes, Chimaeriformes, Callorhinchidae. The record is from the annotation of a RefSeq genome assembly.